RNAcentral lists this long non-coding RNA (2998 nucleotides) under Triticum aestivum (bread wheat). Its description in RNAcentral is "long non-coding RNA (TAES_LNC013868)". The record is from RNAcentral. Lineage: Eukaryota; Viridiplantae; Streptophyta; Magnoliopsida; Poales; Poaceae.
UGGUACAAAUGGAGAAGUAAAAAAUAAGGCCUGGAGUUAUACCCAAAUAAUUUAUGCAGGUGCGGAAAGAAACACUUGAUCUAUGCUCAAUUGCCUAAUAGUAUAACAGAACACGCUCUGCUUCUUCUCCUGUAAUAUUGCUAGCAUAGCUGAUACUUCUCCUGUAAUAUUGCUAGCAUAGCUGAUACUUCUCCUGUAAUAUUGCUAGCAUAACUGAUAGUACAAGUUAAUGCGUGACUGCUUACUCUAUUUAGCCCUAUGAGUGAAUAAAAAAAGAUUGAAAAUCGUAACGCAUUUUUUAUAUGCAGCCCAAUGAAGUGUAUCGCCUUGAGCUCCAUUAUUUAGGCCAGAUCUCAUGAGAGGUGUUGUGUCAAUUGCAUUGGCAUACAAUAAGGUAAAUAAUUGCAUUGGCAUACCAAAUCUCUUGAACAAAUGUGAUUCAGGAAUGCUAUGAGUGAUAAAAUAAACAUAAUAACAUACCAAAUGUGCCCUGUUAAGCAUAAAUGCGAUGAGUUAUAGUAGGAGGCGUACCCAUCCGUCUGAAGACUGCUCUUAAUAUAUUCUUCUCUUUUCCAUGUUGUAACAUCUAGAUCAAUCCACUUAUCGGAUUUUAAUUCCAUGUGCUUGGAUGCAUAUUUGAAUAAAUCCUCUAGUCCUUCUAGCUGUUGUACCAACAAAUGGAAAAAGUAUAAGCAUCACAAGUGAGAAAUAAGAAAAAGAAGGUUCUUAGAAAAGAUGGGGGAGUAGGACUAAGUACUAACCGUAUCAGUGAGGUCCUUGCGGCUCAUGUAUGGGCCUAGCGAGUCGAGCACUUGAACACAUUUUUUUCUGGCAUUUAUAACACAUAAAUACCAGUGAAUGUCGUCCAUGUUUAUUGGUAAGUAUAUCUGAAGAAAAUGAUUAUUUUAGUUGUAGAAGUAUGUGGACGAAUCGGUCGUUCUUGCUGUAGUUCAUAGAAAUAUGUAGAAAAAUAAGACUAACCAUAUCGUUUUCCAAAUACGCUUUGGCUCUGUUUAAUACCCAUGCUGGUGCAGCAUCCAUGUCAUCUGAGGGCAGAUAGCUACCGAUCUUCAUCAUCUUAGAGAUGCAUGCAUUCUCUAAGAACACACUUCCACCUGACCUUACUUGUAGAUGCUCCGUAAAAAUCAUGCAAUUUAUGUACGUAUUUAUGACCUACAAUUAAAAGUAUACAUAGUAUAUUAGAUGACACAUACUUCUAAUUAAAUAGCAUCUUCAUGUCCUAAUAUACUUACUUCGUCGCCAACCCAUUCUGUGGGAGAUAGAAGAGAUAGUAAAUGUCUUUUUUUCAGAAAUGCGUCGCUGAUGCUCACUAAAUUUCUUUCUUUACUUGGUUCGGAUCUGAUUUUUUCUAUAACGGACCAAUCAUCGCCAGUGCAGGCAUAAUCUGUCACGAUGGCCAUAAUAACAUUUAAUGAUAAUGAACACAAAAACAAUAAUAUAGCAGUACAAGGACAUUGAAGGUUUUGUUCUGUGCCUUGUGGAGAAACAACAUAGUCUUGUGCCUUCUUAGGCUUGUUAUGUCGUCGUAUAUGUUUCUUUAUAUGCACGGGCAUUGUUAGCUCGUCCUCUAUAGUUUGAAGCCCUUCCGUGCCGGGUGUUUGUACCAAUUUCUCGUCCUCAAUUGCCACCAUUUGUUGACUUGUUUCGUUGUGGGUUAAUUUCUGAAAACAAUAUUAGAAGAAUUACCCGUAUGUAGGAUAUAAUAUAAUUAUAAUAGUUUUGGAAGAAAUAAUUGGAAAAGGAAAGUCACAUUUGUGUGUUCAGAAUCUUUGGCCUCUCUGUUUGCUAUGUUUUCUUCAAGAAUAGGUGUAUAUUCUGAGCUCUCCGUGCAAUUAUUUUCCUCCACUUCAUUAUUGUUGAGUACUUCACUUGAUUCAUCAUCUCUCGGUAGCUAAAACACAUGGUAGUAUAAUAUUAUAACAGAUAGAAUAUCUUUUUGAUAUAAUAUUGUACUAAAAAAAUUACAAAGUGCUCUGUGGUGUUAGAAUUAGAAUAGUAAUGACAUGUGGAAAGAAAACUUGCCUCUGUGGACUCGGGAUAUGUAUCCUCCUGUACGGUUAUCACCUCAUCAAUAUGCAUAUUCUCUGUAUCCUCCAUAGUAGAGUCUUCUUGUAUCAAUUGUGCCGACUCAUAGUUUGUAUCCUCGUCCUUCUUUAUGACCUCUUCAACCUGCAUAUUAUCUAUAUCCUCAUCCUUUGCUACCUUGUUGAUGCCAUCCUAACAACCCAAGUAUGACACUUUUAGAUAGGAAACCUUGCAUAGAAAGAACAGAGAUAUAAUAUGUCUUUACCAUCUCGAUAGCAUGGACAGUAGUACCGGAUCUGGUUGGAGAUUGACUCGCAUGGGGCACCGGUGACGGAGGCGUAGACAUGGACGAUGACGGUGCUUCACCAAGGGCAGAUGUGUGCGGCUCAGUGGAGAGACUUGUUGUGGAUGUAUGUUGGGAUGCAGAUGAGAGAUCGCGAGGGAGGAUGGAGGAGAGGUGAAAGUAAUGGUAUCAGACAAUAUAAGGCAGAAUCGUGAGAGAAAGGAAACUACUAUCGCGAUAAUUGGGGACUCCUGAUUGCUAUCAUCCGCGGAUUUUUCUGAGGCCCCAGAAUCUUAUCUUGUGCUUUUUUUAUACUCACACAAAAUUAUUGGAGUUAUUUUCGUGGUACAUUUUAUAUGCAUAAAUAUUGUGAUUGGCCCACCUUCCUUCUGUAACCGUGGGCUUAAUAAUUCAGAAAAGGCACACCCUUUUAAUAGUUGAGAAACUAAUUUUUUCUGUUUCAUUUGAAAUUCAGCUGAUGUAUGGUGGUUGCCUUCUUGUACAUGAGCAAGCGACUGCAGGAGAUCACGACUUGUUCUUUUGAUUUUUUUUGGUUCAUCACAUGAUCCAUCAAGCCAGCCAAGGGGGAGAUCAGUGAAGAGGUGAAGUAGAAAUUGGAAUCGGAAUAGGAGGCAUAUCUUCAACUGGUUUGAUGCAUGUUGGAAGAGG